Notothenia coriiceps (black rockcod) is the source of this 1164-nucleotide long non-coding RNA. RefSeq lists it as uncharacterized. The transcript is spliced from 5 exons. Lineage: Eukaryota; Metazoa; Chordata; Actinopteri; Perciformes; Nototheniidae. The record is from RefSeq and is a predicted model, not a curated record.
CAAACUGGGUCCCUCCCAUUUCCGCUUCUCCUGUGGAGGCUGCAGUUUAGCGUAGUAACGCAAAUUGUUUGGCGGGGCAACAUUCAAGUCCUACUCUCUACCGGACAGCUGACGUCCAGGGCGUUAGGGGAGGCAUUUGCUCCGCCAGAGGCUCCGUGAUAGCGGCGUUGCACACUGUUGCGGGAUUUGGCCGUGGGAUUUGCGGGUCUCAUUCCCUCCCUUGUCGGCUCUGUGGCUGCGCCUGGCUGCACCGGGUGGGGUGUUCUAACUAUUCUCGCUCCCCACCUUUGGCCAUCAUUCCCGUCCCGUGCUGCUGUUUUGGCUCUCUGUGAGUUUUGGGCUCUCUGUGAGCUUCGCUCCUUGCUGUGGACAGGCCCAGACUGCUUGCUCUGGCCUGUUGCUGGAGCCGUUCUUGGUGUCAGGGAAUGGUCCUAAUACACGACUAUAAGGACAUGUAUUAUUAAAUUUGUGUAUUCCUUGCCGUCCUUUACAUUUACUUUAAUUUGAUUUAAUUUGUGUAUUCCUUGCUGUCCUUUACAUUUACUUUAAUUUGAUUUAAUUUGUUUAUUCCUUGCAGUCCUUUACAUUUGCUUUAAUUUGUUGUUUCCAUUAAUUCAGAUUUGGUGUAUUUUGUUGUUUUCUUUAGUUUAUCCUUUUGUCAGAAUUAUAACCUUUUAUCCUAUGCCGGACAGGUGCUGUGGGCCUGAGGCGGCAGACUCCCUGGUGGUGGCAGUGGUUUUCUUCACAGGUGGCGCUCCCUCCUCAGUCAACAGAUGAAAUGCGGCGUGAACGCUCCUGCUGUGUUGACAGAGCUGUCGACAAAGACACAAGGCCUGGGCAGACACCCAACAUAUGGCUAAAUGCCCUGUCAUGCUGGCAGUGAUAUGCUUAACACAUGCAUGCAUAAGAUACACAGAUACAUCCACCCCACACACUGAAUGCUUGAAGUCUCCCCAUUUUGGAUUAGGGCACAAGAAGACAUGAACCAUUGUGUAAUUGGCCUGGGAAGAAGCGUUGGACAAAACAGGAAGCACAAAGUUCUGAGGCUGUUCAUUGAUGCACAAAAAAAGAAUUAGGCGAACAUUUUAGUAAAUUGUGCUGUCAAUUUAGCAUAAACUAUAAGCAUUAAACGCUGGCUGUAAAUUAUAUUGGGCGCAGAAAUCA